CGUCCUAUCAGCUUGUUGGUGAGGUAACGGCUCACCAAGGCUUACGGGUAGCUGGUCUGAAAGGAUGGUCAGCCACACUGGGACUGAAAUACUGCCCAGACUCCUACGGGAGGCUGCAGUCCAAAAUCUUUCCCAAUGGGCGCAAGCCUGACCAAACGACCCCCCGUGCAAGAUGAAAGUCUUCCGAAUGUAAACUGCUGUCUUCCGGGAUCAAGGAACCCCCAUUAACACCGGUGGAACCGGAUAGUACCGGAAGAGGAAGCCACGGCUAACUCUGUGCCAGCAGCCGCGGUAAUACAGAAGUGGCAAGCGUUGUUCGGAUUUACUGGGCGUAAAGGGUGCGUAAGCGGUCUUGUGUGUCGGGUGUGAAAUCCCACGGAUUAUCUGUGGAACGGCAUUCUAAACUGCAAGGCUUGAGUGUAAGAGAGGAGAGCGGAAUUCUUGGUGUAACGGUGAAAUGCGUUGAUAUCAAAAAGAAAGCCGGUGACAAAAGUGGCUCUCCUGGACUACUACUGACGCUGAAGCACGAAAGCUAUGGGAGCAAACAGGAUUAGAUACCCUGGUAGUCCUAACGUAAACGGUGUGCACUUGCUGUGGGUGGAUUUAUCCCCUCCCCGCGGCGAAACUAACACGAUAAAUGCACCGCCUGGGGGAGAACAGUCGCAGACUAAAACUCAAAGAAUGUCGGGGGGCCCCACAAGCGUGGAGAAUGUGGCUUAAUUCUAUGCAACGCGAGAAACCUACCUGGGUUGACAUGUGACUGCAGGCUUGCCGCAAAAGUGAACGCCUCCAGGUGUCACACAGUGCUG
RNAcentral lists this ribosomal RNA (809 nucleotides) under uncultured bacterium. Its description in RNAcentral is "bacterial SSU rRNA". It matches the Rfam family "Bacterial small subunit ribosomal RNA", at positions 234 to 1043 of the family's 1533-position model. The record is from RNAcentral.